GACGAACGCUGGCGGCGUGCCUAAUACAUGCAAGUAGAACGCUGAAGAGAGGAGCUUGCUCUUCUUGGAUGAGUUGCGAACGGGUGAGUAACGCGUAGGUAACCUGCCUUGUAGCGGGGGAUAACUAUUGGAAACGAUAGCUAAUACCGCAUAACAAUAGGUGACACAUGUCAUUUAUUUGAAAGGGGCAAUUGCUCCACUACAAGAUGGACCUGCGUUGUAUUAGCUAGUAGGUGAGGUAACGGCUCACCUAGGCGACGAUACAUAGCCGACCUGAGAGGGUGAUCGGCCACACUAGGACUGAGACACGGCCCAGACUCCUACGGGAGGCAGCAGUAGGGAAUCUUCGGCAAUGGGGGCAACCCUGACCGAGCAACGCCGCGUGAGUGAAGAAGGUUUUCGGAUCGUAAAGCUCUGUUGUAAGUCAAGAACGAGUGUGAGAGUGGAAAGUUCACACUGUGACGGUAGCUUACCAGAAAGGGACGGCUAACUACGUG
RNAcentral lists this ribosomal RNA (497 nucleotides) under uncultured bacterium. RNAcentral describes it as "partial 16S ribosomal RNA". It matches the Rfam family "Bacterial small subunit ribosomal RNA", at positions 28 to 507 of the family's 1533-position model. The record is from RNAcentral.